RNAcentral lists this ribosomal RNA (431 nucleotides) under uncultured Anaerolineaceae bacterium. RNAcentral's name for it is "bacterial SSU rRNA". It matches the Rfam family "Bacterial small subunit ribosomal RNA", at positions 936 to 1382 of the family's 1533-position model. The record is from RNAcentral. Lineage: Bacteria; Bacillati; Chloroflexota; Anaerolineae; Anaerolineales; Anaerolineaceae.
AGCGUGUGGUUUAAUUCGUUGCUACACGAAGAACCUUACCUGGGUUUGACAUUAUAGGUUGUAGGGAACUGAAAGGGACGACCCUUCGGGAGCCUAUACAGGUGUUGCAUGGCUGUCGUCAGCUCGUGUCGUGAGAUGUUCGGUUAAGUCCGCUAACGAGCGCAACCCUCGUCGUAUGUUAUAUGUGUCAUACGAGACUGCCGGUAAAAGCCGGAGGAAGGUGAGGAUGAUGUCAAGUCAGCAUGACCUUUAUAUCCAGGGCUACACACACGCUACAAUGGUCUGUACAAUGGGUAGCCAAGCCGCGAGGCGGAGCCAAUCCUGAAAAGCAGGCCUCAGUUCAGAUUGCAGUCUGCAACUCGACUGCAUGAAGCCGGAGUUGCUAGUAACCGCAGGUCAGCAAUACUGCGGUGAAUACGUUCCCGGGUCUU